This 256-nucleotide unclassified non-coding RNA is filed under the name uncultured fungus. RNAcentral's name for it is "sequence contains ITS2". The stretch from base 1 to 52 matches the Rfam family "5.8S ribosomal RNA", at positions 103 to 154 of the family's 154-position model. The record is from RNAcentral. Lineage: Eukaryota; Fungi.
AACGCACAUUGCGCCCUUUGGUAUUCCGAAGGGCAUGCCUGUUCGAGCGUCAUUAUCACCUCUCAAGCCUGGCUUGCUGUUGGACUGUAGGUAUUGUUUAUGCAUAACCAGUCCCAAAGAUAAUGACGGCGUCUGUGAAGACCCUAGUACACUGAGCUAUUCAUUUGGCAAGUAUUAGAGGGAGUCCAGGCCCGGUCUUACUUAUAUUUUUCUAAAGGUUGACCUCGGAUCAGGUAGGAAUACCCGCUGAACUUAA